UCUGAUAGUACAGGAAGCCAUCGACUUGAGUUUUAAUGGAUGAAAAAAUUGACAGCAAUUUUUAUUUUGGGUGAAAUGUCCCUAUAAAAAAGGGAUAGAUAACCCAAGAAUUAAAAUUAUAAGCGAUUUACUCACCCUUGACUUGUUUCAAACCCCAUUUGAGUUUUCUUUAUCAGUUGGGGCACAAAAGCAGAUACUUUGAAGAAUGUUGGAAAACUGUAACCAUUGACUUAUGGUUGUUUUUCCUGCAGUGGAUGUCAACAUAGCUGGUUCAAGAGAAAACAAGAAACUUGUUUUUGUUAAGAGUGAGUAAAUAAUAGCAGAACCAUCACUUUAAUGUAAUAUAAACAAAGCAGCAUCAAUAAUAAAUAUCCCCCUGCGUUCCACAUCCUAUAUGAGGUCAAAUGGGUUUACAACAAGAUGAUGAUGACAGAGUUUUCAUUUAUGGAUGACCUAUUGCUUUAAAUGUCUUUUUGAGUGCUUUAAACCUACAGCCUUUCAGAUAGCAGUCUAAAAAGUUGACCGCCAUUCUCCAGGCCUCGCCGCACAGAAAUAGGUUUUAUGAUAGCUAUCCAAUGUAAUCACUGAAUCAGGUGUACCUGCUUUUAUGAGCACUUCGCUUUACUGAUAAGAUAACACCACACAUUAAGCUGUCUCCAUGUAAACAAGCCAAAACAGUAGAGGGAAUACAAACGAGUCUCAUCAAAAGUUUGCAACCAGACGUUGUUAUAUUGUUACAAAGCUAUCAACUCAUAAAACACGAACAUCACCUUGCAGUUUAGUUCUGUGUAAGGUGAAUAGUGUUAGGUGUUGGUUUAAUUGACGUGAAGGGGCCCUAAACUGCCGUCUACCUUUUGAGUCCGCCCAUGCAAGAUCACCAUUCGUGACCGGGAUUGGAGCCAGAUUGCUCCAUGUUCUCGUUUGCUGCUUUGAGGGAGUGGUAUAAACGAAAAGCAAACACAAACUAAUCCGAACUCACUUUUCCUCCGGUCUGUUUGCCCGACUGUUUCUCUUGAGCUAUCAUUACCAUUACGCAGAAUAAUUACAUCAGCUUGCAGCCACUUCCAGGCAUCGAUCUGUAACUCGAAUCAAUCCUCCGGGGACCCAAAGGGAUGAAAUGGUGAUCUAUGGUUGUGUGUGAGGGGAAAAACCUGACUUUCAGGCACCGUCGGAGUUCCAGUCUGUGCAAUAGUAGGACGGUUCCUGGUAUAGCUGCAUCUCUUCCUUCUAAGUGCUCUAAUGAGAUAGUGGGCAAGAAAAAAAGCUGUCCACGGGAUGCAGCGUGUGAGAAACGGGAAUAUGAAGAUGUGCGGCGUAUGUGUAACGAGUUUCUAAUUAAAGACACAGCGAUGUGAGGCCACGAGGGACGACUGCUUCCGUCUGAGAGCCUCAAUAAAUUGGCGAGAAUCGACGGCGAGUGUUUGGAGACGUUCAGAAGGCGAGCGGCGCGCGCGCUCAGAGUCCUCCAGGAGCUUUGUGUGGAGUUUUGGAAACACCAGAAAGGAGUCUGACCACUCCAACUUCCCACGCUUGAAUAUAAUAAAGGACGGCUCGCUUUAAAGGACAGCGCGCUUCUCUCUCUCUCUCUCUCUCUCUCUUUCCAGCUCGUUUUGCGUGGGGUUUAAAUAAGCACAGGACACUCGAGACUCAAUAAAACAAACAGCACGCGCCAAAUUCGCCUCAGGCUGCUGUGGAGAUUGAAGGACACGACCGUCCUCAGACUGCGUGAUCCUGGACUUGGGCUGUGCGCGCACUCUGGUUUCGGGAGAGAUGCGCGCGCUGCGAGCCCCGGUGCUGGUAAUGGGGCUCGUAUUGUUAAUCUGCACUGCCGCACAAAGCGAUGCCAGCGCGAACAAAGUGGAGAAAACGCUCAGACGGAUCAUGGAAAUCAUGAGACAGGUGGAAAAUAGCGCUGACGACGAGAGCGCGCAGAAGACAGAGAGCGCGCCUGAGCCGAAGGACACGCACCAUCUCAAAACGGCAAGUGGAGAAACAAUUUUAGAAAUCUUUCCCAGAGACCUCAGUAGGAAAGAGAAAUUUAUCACAAUAUUAACAGGUCCUCUUUAUUUUGGUCCAAAGUGCAAGAAGGAUGUCUACAGGCUUUACCACAACACUAGAGACUGCACCAUCCCUGCACGUGCCGCUGAUUUACCCCUGCACACAGAAACAGUAUAGGCUACAAAUUCAGGACUCAUCCAGAUGAUUAUCCAACUCAUCCAGCUUUACUCCUGUCCUCAGACUACAAACGGUGCGCACGGCUCCUGACACGACUGGCGGGGACUCGGAAAUGUCAAGAGGGUUAACUUCUAAUUACCAGCAGGUUGAAGCCAAACCAGAGUGACCCAGAGAAAACAACAAAAACAGCAGUCAGAAGUGCCUUUGGACAAGAGAAGAGAAUUUACACCAACACGCAACAUUCCACAUAAUCAGCACAUCACGUCCAGAGCACUGCUCGGCCUCUCUGGAGAAUAGAUGAGGGAAAGAAUUGAUAGAGCAGUAAAUGGACAGAAAAAUGGGAUGCUCUUGCCCAAGGACGGUAUGAUGGACUCAGCAUGGAGCCGAUGUUCAAAUACAAGAUGUCAGAGAACGAAAACAGAGAAACGCAUCUGGCGUUUUGGGUUCUGAACCCGUCUGCCAAAAAACGAAAACCAUUUUCCAUUGUUUCAUUGCGAAAAAGGGAUUGCCGUGUUUUUUACGCUGUGUUCUCAUCAGACGUUGAUACUGAUGUUCCGUGCGACGAGCCUCAACGGGGUUGCAAAUACAAGGACCUGUCAGUGCAAUGAGAGAGAGCUUUCAUUUUCUCCGUGCUAGUAAACUGCAUGAACUUCUGCUUUCGCUUCAGUUUGCCAGCAGACAGGUCGAGUUCUGCAGUAAAUCUGUGACCAGAAGCUUCUCGAUGUUUGUUUGUUUGUGAGACUACGACUGUGGAAAUACAUUCAGUAUAUUUUGAUAUGUGAAUAUUGUACAUACGAGACUUACAAAUCCCUAUAACAAACCACAUAAGCAUCUGGCGUACGAAUGCUUCGUUGGGAUAUGUAUAUUUAAAAGAAAAUAUAUUUAAAUAAAUUAUGAUUGUUUAAACGCUGUGGUGUUUGAUAUCGCAAAAAAAUACUGUCUCGAUCUGGAUUAACGGCUUAUCUUGGCAUCAGAAAACCUGUUUCUGAGGGAGUCUGGGAGUUCUUAUCGGUCACGCUGGAUGCUUUGGAUGCUUCUGAGAUAUUGAAUUUUUUUUCCCCCGGUCUGUAACCACACCAAAGAUAACGGUCAUCUUCUGUUGCUAAAUAGUUUAGCGAUGGGGAAAACUGUCCAGGGAGUUCCUCAAAAGAUGAAGAGGAUGGAUGAGAGAAGAAAACAACUGGAGGAGAAAGCGAACAAAAGAGUAAAUAAAUUGAGUCUUGGGGUAAAGCGCGAUGAAUCAAAACAACAAGCAAACUUUAAGGUUGGCUGAAAAGAGAGAGUCUAAAAGUACUUUUGUUUUGAUGUUUCUGCACAGAAUUGAGUAAAUAACCUGUGGAUUUACGCCGAAUGAUUUUGAGAGUGAAGGAGCUGAAAAGCUAACGCGUAACAAACAAAUAACAAACCAUUCAUUUUCCUUCAGC
Molecule: non-coding RNA, 3599 nt
Organism: Danio rerio (zebrafish)
Lineage: Eukaryota; Metazoa; Chordata; Actinopteri; Cypriniformes; Danionidae
Source: RefSeq, a predicted model, not a curated record